AUGGUCAGGAUCCUUCUCUCCAGAGGAAUCACCCUGAAACACACGCUCUGUCAGACAGGGGGCGCUGUGCUACAAUACACUCUGUCAGACAGGAGGCGCUGUGCUACAAUACACUCUGUCAGACAGGGGGCGCUGUGCUACAAUACACUCUGUCAAACAGGGGGCGCUGUGCUACAAUACACUCUGUCAGACAGGGGGCGCUGUGCUACACCACACUCUGUCAGACAGGGGCGCUGUGCUACAAUACACUCUGUCAGACAGGGGGCGCUGUGCUACACCACACUCUGUCAGACAGGGGGCGCUGUGCUACAAUACACUCUGUCAGACAGGAGGCGCUGUGCUACAAUACGCUCUGUCAGACAGGGGGCGCUGUGCUACACCACACUCUGUCAGACAGGGGCGCUGUGCUACAAUACACUCUGUCAAACAGGGGGCGCUGUGCUACAAUACACUCUGUCAGACAGGGGGCGCUGUGCUACACCACACUCUGUCAGACAGGGGGCGCUGUGCUACAAUACACUCUGUCAGACAGGGGGCGCUGUGCUACAAUACACUCUGUCAGACAGGGGGCGCUGUGCUACAAUACACUCUGUCAGACAGGGGGCGCUGUGCUACAAUACACUCUGUCAAACAGGGGGCGCUGUGCUACAAUACACUCUGUCAGACAGGGGGCGCUGUGCUACAAUACACUCUGUCAGACAGGGGGCGCUGUGCUACACCACACUCUGUCAAACAGGGGGCGCUGUGCUACAAUACACUCUGUCAGACAGGAGGCGCUGUGCUACAAUACGCUCUGUCAGACAGGGGGCGCUGUGCUACACCACACUCUGUCAGACAGGGGGCGCUGUGCUACAAUACACUCUGUCAAACAGGGGGCGCUGUGCUACAAUACACUCUGUCAGACAGGGGGCGCUGUGCUACAAUACACUCUGUCAGACAGGGGGCGCUGUGCUACACCACACUCUGUCAAACAGGGGGCGCUGUGCUACAAUACACUCUGUCAGACAGGAGCGCUGUGCUACAAUACGCUCUGUCAGACAGGGGCGCUGUGCUACAAUACACUCUGUCAGACAGGGGGCGCUGUGCUACAAUACACUCUGUCAGACAGGGGCGCUGUGCUACAAUACACUCUGUCAGACAGGGGGCGCUGUGCUACACCACACUCUGUCAAACAGGGGGCGCUGUGUACAAUACCUCUGUCAGACAGGAGGCGCUGUGCUACAAUACCUCUGUCAGACAGGGGGCGCUGUGCUACAUACACUCUGUCAGACAGGGGGCGCUGUGCUACAAUACACUGUCAGACAGGGGGCGCUGUGCUACAAUACUCUGUCAGACAGGGGGCGCUGUGCUACAAUACACUCUGUCAGACAGGGGGCGCUGUGCUACAAUACUCUCAACUGUUCUCUGUCAGACAGGGGGCGCUGUGCUACAAUACACUCUGUCAGACAGGGGCGCUGUGCUACAAUCACACUCUGUCAGACAGGGGGCGCUGUGCUACAAUACACUGUCAGACAGGGGGCGCUGUGCUACAAUACGCUCUGUCAGACAGGGGCGCUGUGCUACAAUACGCUCUGUCAGACAGGGGGCAACCAGGGGGGCGCUGUGCUACAAUACACUCUGUCAGACAGGGGGCGCUGUGCUACAAUACUCUGUCAGACAGGGGGCGCUGUGCUACAAUACACUGUCAGACAGGGGGCGCUGUGCUACAGUACACUCUGUCAGACAGGGGGCGCUGUGCUACAAUACACUGUCAGACAGGGGGCGCUGUGCUACAAUACAUGUCAGACAGGGGGCGCUGUGCUACAAUACACUGUCAGACAGGGGGCGCUGUGCUACAAUACACUCUGUCAGACAGGGGGCGCUGUGCUACAAUACACUGUCAGACAGGGGGCGCUGUGCUACAAUACACUCUGUCAGACAGGGGGCGCUGUGCUACACCACACUCUGUCAGACAGGGGGCGCUGUGCUACAAUACGCUCUGUCAGACAGGUACUGCUGUAGAUGCAGUAUAAGUACAGCUGUAGAUGCAGUAUAAGUACAGCUGUAGAUGCAGUAUAAGUACUGCUGUAGAUGCAGUAUAAUGAGUACUAACUUAAGUACCAAGGCCAGAAGAAGGAGGCGGCCUUCACGCCCUGUUUCUCCGCCGUGAUCCAGAUCUGAAACAGAGACAGGUUUAAAUCAUGAAAGACUCUUUGUCCUUUAAACUCUGAGGAAACGUGGGACUAAAGACGGUUAAAUAAAGAAUCAGCCUGAAGCUGAAGUUCGUUCAUGCUGCAGGUUUUUGGAGCUCCAUUAUUUAGAAAAGGGCAAAAUGAAUUAGUAAAGGGUUAAAUUGAGGACAAUGUUGUUCAUGUUCAGACUAGGGAUGUCACGGUAUGAAAAUUUUACCUCACGGUUAUUGUGACCAAAAUUAUCACGGUUUUCGGUUUUAUCGCGGUAUUUUUUUUAAUGUGUGUUAAUAAGUUCAGAAAGCAUUGAUAGUCCUACACAAACUGAAAUAGUUUCAAAAAAGUGUAACAGUGUUUGUUAUAUUUAAAAAAUCCAGACAAAGCCAUAUCAAAAGUGCAACUUUUCACAUCAAAGUAAAUGAACUAUAACUAUGUAUUGUUGAUCGUUUGGAGGUUAUUACAUGUACUAUUUAUAGCGCCAGAACCGUGUUAGAAUAUUUUCAACUAGAUAAACCCUCAGGAAUAUUGUUCUCAGUUUGUG
Molecule: long non-coding RNA, 2709 nt
Organism: Neogobius melanostomus (round goby)
Lineage: Eukaryota; Metazoa; Chordata; Actinopteri; Gobiiformes; Gobiidae
Source: Ensembl